Molecule: non-coding RNA, 106 nt
Organism: Acanthosepion pharaonis
Lineage: Eukaryota; Metazoa; Mollusca; Cephalopoda; Sepiida; Sepiidae
Source: the annotation of a GenBank genome assembly
UAGGACCAUAUCACGUUGAAACAUCGGUUCUCGUACGAUCAGUUAAGCGACGUUGAGCUUGGUCAGUACCAAGAUGGGUGACCGGUUGGGUAUACAGGUGCUGUGA